RNAcentral lists this ribosomal RNA (468 nucleotides) under uncultured bacterium. RNAcentral's name for it is "partial 16S ribosomal RNA". It matches the Rfam family "Bacterial small subunit ribosomal RNA", at positions 28 to 507 of the family's 1533-position model. The record is from RNAcentral.
GACGAACGCUGGCGGCGUGCUUAACACAUGCCAGUCGAACGGAAAGGCCCUGCUUUUGUGGGGUGCUCGAGUGGCGAACGGGUGAGUAACACGUGAGUAACCUGCCCUUGACUUUGGGAUAACUUCAGGAAACUGGGGCUAAUACCGGAUAGGAGCUCCUGCUGCAUGGUGGGGGUUGGAAAGUUUCGGCGGUUGGGGAUGGACUCGCGGCUUAUCAGCUUGUUGGUGGGGUAGUGGCUUACCAAGGCUUUGACGGGUAGCCGGCCUGAGAGGGUGACCGGCCACAUUGGGACUGAGGUACGGCCCAGACGCCUACGGGAGGCAGCAGUGGGGAAUAUUGCACAAUGGGCGGAAGCCUGAGGCAGCAACGCCGCGUGCGGGAUGACGGCCUUCGGGUUGUAAACCGCUUUCGCCUUUGACGAAGCGUGAGUGACGGUAAUGGGUAAAGAAGCACCGGCUAACUACGUG